Molecule: long non-coding RNA, 448 nt
Organism: Gastrolobium bilobum
Lineage: Eukaryota; Viridiplantae; Streptophyta; Magnoliopsida; Fabales; Fabaceae
Exons: 3
Source: RefSeq, a predicted model, not a curated record
UUGAUUUAUCCACCAUUAAUACUCCAAAUUCAAUGACCCACCACAUGAAAUUGAUCGGAAACCACACAAUGAAUCCAUUUCACCACUCAAUUUGAGCUAUAGUUAAGUGUGUGAGGAGUUCCUCCUCCUCCAUUUUUCGUGACAUUAUUCAUCAAGGUAGAGAAAUGACAUUUUUGGAGGAGUUUUGCUUGGUGGUCAUCUUCUAGGCUUUGGGAAGUUGAUUAGAGGUGUACCUAGGGACUGAAAAGGAUCGGAAUCUCUUGAAGAUAUAUAAGUAACUUGUGUCACAAGUAAGCAGAUUGAUAAAGCUUCAAGAGGUGCCCAGAUCCCCGGUGAGACCUCUCUAGUCAGGGACGCGACACGUGGCUGAGACAUUCGACAGACCGUAUUUUGAGUGGCUGUAGGCUACUACCUUUUUGGAGUAUAUCGAUGUAGUUUAUAUUUCAGC